Molecule: long non-coding RNA, 1023 nt
Filed under: Homo sapiens (human)
Lineage: Eukaryota; Metazoa; Chordata; Mammalia; Primates; Hominidae
Description: non-protein coding lnc-SHCBP1L-1:4
Source: RNAcentral
GGCGGGGCUCAGCAACCUCGCGGCGCGGAAGGGUUUCGUUGCUAGGGAGAUGGGCUGAGCCGGGCGGGCAUCGCGCCAGACCUGCUACUCUGGAUAAUCCACUCUCCUGGAUAAUCCACUACCCUGGAUAAUCGGCUGCCCGCUUUUGCGCAUGUUAGGGAGUUGACGGCCUGUAGCAUUCUGAUGCAGCAAAAUAUUUCGCAGGGUCUGUCAUAGGGAUCUCCGGUGAGAGGAGGUUCCCUUCGAAGGCAGAACUGGAAACCUUGCUGCUAACUUGGGUGUUGAAAGCAGCAGGGGCCUAGAAGACAUUAAACCGAUACCACAGAAAUACAAAGGAUCAUUAGAGACUAUUAUGAACAACUAUAUGCCAACAAAUUGGAAACCAAAUGGAAAUGGAUAAAUUCCUGAACAGAUACAACUUACCAAAAUUGGACCAAGAAGAAAUAGAAAACCUGAAAAGACCAACUAUGAGUAAUGAGAUUAAAUCAGUAAUAUAGAGUCUCCCAUCAAAGAAAAGUCCAGGCCCUGAUGGCUUCACUGCUGAAUUCUACUGAACAGUUAAAGAAGAACUCAUACCAGUUCUCAAACUCAUCCUGUGAGGGCAGCAUUACCCUGAUACCAAAACUAGAUAUGGACACAAGAAAAAAAAUCUAUAGGCCAGUAUCCCUGAUGAACAUAGAUGCAAGAAUCCUCAACAAGACCAGGUGUGGUGGUUCAUGCCUGUAAUCCCAGCACUUUGGGAGGCCAAGGCAGGUGGAUCACCUGAGGUCAGGAAUUUGAGACCAGCCUGGCCAACAUGGCAAAACCCUGUCUGUACUAAAAAUACAAAAAUUAGCCGGGCAAGGUGGCGUGUGCCUGUAAUCCUAGCUACUUGGGAGGCUGAGGCAGGAGAAUUGCUUGAACCUGGAGGGAGGAGGGGCAGAAGUUGCAGCGAGCUCAGAUCGUCCCACUGCACUCCAGCCUGGGUGACAGAGUGAGACUCCAUCUCAAAAUAAGUAAAUAAAUAAAGAGACUCAACUAGCA